CACACCAGAAGAGGGUGGCAGAUCUCA
Molecule: non-coding RNA, 27 nt
Filed under: Mus musculus (house mouse)
Lineage: Eukaryota; Metazoa; Chordata; Mammalia; Rodentia; Muridae
Source: RNAcentral